GAGGACCCCAACUUGAGUGAUUGAGCGUAAGAGAAUCUAAGUCUCUUACGACCCAAAACACGAAGUGUUAGAGCAACAACUCAAGAGUUCGAACACUAAAAGCUAUCUCAGGAGGACCCUAGCUAUUGAGUGACCGAGUGUAAGAGAAGAGACGAGUGGAAAGAGAUAAUGGAUGAAUGAGAGGUGGGAGAAUGAAAGUGAAGGAGAGAGGAGAAUGGGUAACUGAGGGGUAUGAGUUAGAGAGAGUAGGUGAGAGAGUGAGAGGUGAGAAUUAGAGAGAGGGAGAGAGAGAAGGCGAACUUGCCUAUGGCAUGGGUCCGUGCCUACAGGGUACGUAGAGGAUGAGAGAGGAUGAGAAAGAGAGAAGGAUAGAGAGAGUGAGAGAGCGAUGGGCCCGCCGCUAGUGCGGGUCCGUCAUUAGGAGGUUGAGAGAGAUAAUUAGGAGGUUGAGAGAGAUAGAGAUAGAGAGAUGCUGGAUCCACUUAUAGCAUGGAUCCGUAACUUAGGCGAGAGAGAAAGAGAGAGAGUAAGUGAAAGAGAGGGAGCGGGAGACGAGCUGGCCUCUAUUGUGGGUCUAUCACUAGAAGGGAGAGGGAGAUAAGGUGUGAGAAAAGAGAGAGAAAGGGGGAAAGCUCAGACUCGCCCUAGGUUCAAGUGGAAGAGAGAGAAAGAGAGCAAAGAGAGAGAGUGAGAGUAAAGAGAGAGAGCACAAAGAGAGAGUGAGAGCAAAGAGAGAGAGAGAGCAAAGAGAGAAAGAGAGCAUAGAGAGAGAAAGAGAGUGAGAGCUCGGACCCACCCUGGGUCUGAGUUAAGAGAGAGUGUGUAAAGAGAGAGAGUGAGAGUAAAGAGAGAAUGAGAGUAAAGAGAGUGAGAGCUUGGACCCACCUUGGGUCUGAGUGGGGAGAGAAAGAGAGGAAGAAAAAGAAAGAAAUAAAGAGAGAGAGUGAGGAGGAGAGAGAUUGGACCUAAAUGGCUCGGGCCUAGGUGAGCCUUCGAGGGUCCCUUUGAAUGCACCUUAGAGAGGGGUCUUGGUUCUUGGAGAGGCUAAGGUUAGGAUCUACGGUCUAGGAGAAUGGACCUAAUUGGGUUAGCAUAGUGGAAGGUGUGGGGGUGUAUGGAAUAGGAUAGGGUGUAUGGAAUGGACUAGGGUAUAUGGAUGCUAUGUUGUAUGGGGUAGGAUAAGAUGUAUGGAUGCUAGGGUGUAUAGAAGCUAAGAUGUAUGGUGUAGGAUUGGGAGUUGGGAAUCCCAGGGUAUAUGGAAGCUAGGGUGUAUGGGAUAAGAUUGAGAGUUGGGAAUCCUAAGAAAUGGGAAGUUUCGAAUUCUAGGAGAGUCAAGG
RNAcentral lists this long non-coding RNA (1337 nucleotides) under Amborella trichopoda. Its description in RNAcentral is "long non-coding RNA (ATRI_LNC000377)". The record is from RNAcentral. Lineage: Eukaryota; Viridiplantae; Streptophyta; Magnoliopsida; Amborellales; Amborellaceae.